GAUGAACGCUGACAGAAUGCUUAACACAUGCAAGUCUUUGGCGAAGCUGUGCUUGCACAGCCUAGCCAAGGCGGACGGGUGAGUAACGCGUAAGGAACUUGCCCUGCAGUCAGGGAUAACAGACGGAAACGACUGAUAAGACCUGGUAAAGUCAGGCGGACUCAUGUCCAGCCUGAUGAAAAGAGAUGCUGCAGGAGAGCCUUGCGUCCUAUUAGCUUGUUGGUGGGGUAACGGCCCACCAAGGCGAUGAUAGGUAGCCGGCCUGAGAGGGUGGACGGCCACAAGGGGACUGAGAUACGGCCCUUACUCCUACGGGAGGCAGCAGUGGGGAAUAUUGGACAAUGGGGGCAACCCUGAUCCAGCAAUUCUGUGUGCACGAUGAAGGUUUUCGGAUUGUAAAGUGCUUUCAGCAGGGAAGAAAAAAAUGACGGUACCUGCAGAAGAAGCGACGGCUAAAUACGUGCCAGCAGCCGCGGUAAUACGUAUGUCGCAAGCGUUAUCCGGAAUUAUUGGGCAUAAAGAGCAUCUAGGCGGCCAGAUAAGUCUGGGGUGAAAACUUGCGGCUCAACCGCAAGCCUGCCCUGGAAACUAUGUGGCUAGAGUACUGGAGAGGUGGACGGAACUGCACGAGUAGAGGUGAAAUUCGUAGAUAUGUGCAGGAAUGCCGAUGAUGAAGAUAGUUCACUGGACGGUAACUGACGCUGAAGUGCGAAAGCUAGGGGAGCAAACAGG
RNAcentral lists this ribosomal RNA (732 nucleotides) under uncultured Leptotrichia sp. Its description in RNAcentral is "bacterial SSU rRNA". It matches the Rfam family "Bacterial small subunit ribosomal RNA", at positions 28 to 776 of the family's 1533-position model. Lineage: Bacteria; Fusobacteriati; Fusobacteriota; Fusobacteriia; Fusobacteriales; Leptotrichiaceae. The record is from RNAcentral.